This 1415-nucleotide long non-coding RNA is filed under the name Sus scrofa (pig). Its description in RNAcentral is "lncRNA (ENSSSCG00015080314.1)". The record is from RNAcentral. Lineage: Eukaryota; Metazoa; Chordata; Mammalia; Artiodactyla; Suidae.
AGAUAAGAGAAAGUAGGAAUGCAGCCCCUGUCCUUUGGUUUCAGAAUGUGUAGCCCCCAGGACCAAGACUCAAACUUGCUGUUAAAAAUGCACUAAGGCUCCCCCGCCCCCCGAGCCAGUCACUUCAAGAGUCCCUGUGUGGGCAGGGAACUGUCAUCGGAAUACAUUUGCCUGGACCCAUGAUGGGGCUAAAACCCCACCGACCAAGGCCGGGCAGUGUGCCUUGAAGUCACCCAGUUUCCAUCCAUCAUCUCAGGACAGUUCAGGUGAACCUGCCUGGGCUGGAACAGGCUUGGUGCAGAAUCACCUGUAUCCUCUGCCUUGAAGGCCAUCAGGUUGGAAGACCUCAGGGGGGUGUCCUCUUUUCUCAGCCUCCCGUCCAUCGUCCAUCUAUCACAUAGGGCUGUCGCCACCAGCAUGACACUAUUUCCUCCCCUCUGUUCAUUGAUACUGAAAACACCUCAAGCAGAGAACUGAGGCCUUCUGCUUCCAUGCCUCAUAUUCACAUGAAGAUAAAGAGGCUUGCUGAGUCAUUUCCCCGCAAGGGAGGAUUUUGGUCCUGACUUGUCCGAGAGAUGCCCCAGGUGGAGAGGGUUUUAGUGCUAGGCCUCCCAACAGGAGGUGGGGGCAUAAAGAGGAGGAGCAAAGGAGUACCCGUUGUGGCUCAGUGGGUUAGGAACCCAACUAGGAUCCACGUGAAUGCGGGUCUGAUCCCUGGUCUUUCUCAGUGGGUUACGGGUCCAGAGUUGCCCCAAGCUGGUUGCAGAUGCAGCUCAGAUCUGACAUUGCUAUGACUGGGGUGUAAGCCUACAACUGCAGCUCUGAUUGGACCCCUGGCCUGGGAAUUUGCAGAUGCUGCAGGUUUGGCCCUAAAAAGCAAAAUAAUAAUAAUAAUAAUUUUAUUUAAAAGGUCUGGGGGAAAGAAAUUUAAAUCGUGGAAGUGAUGUUGGGAUUGGGGAGGUGGACUGCAUCACCACGUGGCACACUUGGCCCUUCUGCCUGGGUCUUCCUGAACAGAUGGGCGCUGCUUCCCUCAGGGCGGUGGGUAAAGCAGGCCCUCCUUUUCUCCUGAAUCACCUUCUUGGAUCCCGCUUUCUCCCGUGCCUGCCUUUUAGCUCCUUCCAGGAGGGACGACACACUCUUAAAAACUACAGGUUAUGGGAGUUCCAGUCUCAUGGUGCAGCAGGAAGAAUCCUGUUAAUAUCCAAGAGGAUGCGGGUUCAAUCCCUGGCUUUGCUCGGUGGGUCGGGGAUCCAGGGUUGCCGUGAGCUGUGGUGUAGGUCGCAGACAUGGUUCAGAUCCUGAGUUGCUGUAGCUGUGGAGUAGGCUGGCAGCUGUAGCUCUGAUUCAAACCCUAGCCUGGGAACCUCCAUAUGUCGAGGGUGGGGCCCUAAAAAGCAAAAAAAAACAAAAAA